GAACUGAAGAGUUUGAUCAUGGCUCAGAUUGAACGCUGGCGGCAGGCCUAACACAUGCAAGUCGAGCGGAUGAAGGGAGCUUGCUCCUGGAUUC
Molecule: ribosomal RNA, 94 nt
Filed under: Pseudomonas aeruginosa
Lineage: Bacteria; Pseudomonadati; Pseudomonadota; Gammaproteobacteria; Pseudomonadales; Pseudomonadaceae
Description: partial 16S ribosomal RNA
Rfam family: Bacterial small subunit ribosomal RNA
Source: RNAcentral